Long non-coding RNA from Aethina tumida (small hive beetle), 821 nucleotides. RefSeq lists it as uncharacterized. Lineage: Eukaryota; Metazoa; Arthropoda; Insecta; Coleoptera; Nitidulidae. The transcript is spliced from 2 exons. The record is from RefSeq and is a predicted model, not a curated record.
UAAACUGUCAAAAUUAGUUUAAUAAAAAUAUUUAGUCAGUAUAAUGUGACUCAACUAAACAACAACUAGUACAUGUUGUGUAUAUAAUAAUUGUACAAUAUGUACUUACCCAUUAUUUUUAAAAAUAAAUUAAUCCUUUAAUUAUGCACAAGUCCCCCUGAAUUAAAUAAACUGUCCUCCAGCUGCCUCCUUCGAACUCCCAGACAACACUGGAUGUAUUCCCAGCAACCGUAAGGCACAACCAAAGGGCUGGAUUGAAAUCAACCUGUUUUUUAAAGGGGUGGAGUUUAUGUAAACCUCUGGAUCCACUCUUGAGCCUUUCGAGCAGCUCCAUCGGUCUGUUGGUAGUGGGGAUCACACACCGUCUACAGAACUCCAACCGUCUAUUCAGUUUCACCCUUUACACCACGGUACAACCCUGUUUUUUAUUGUUGAGAUGGAGAUUUUAGGGUGACAACCCUUUUUUUAACUCUUUGUUGGUGUGAUUUUUAAGGAGUGGGGCUGAAGUUACCGGGGAAGGGUUGUGCCCCUUGGGUUUUUUAGAUUUCAGUGAUUUCAGUGAUGAUUUAAAGGGGUUGAGUACACCCCUUCUCUGCUGGACAUUGAUUUUAUACAGAGGGUUACACAUGCUAUCUUGUUAAUAUAAAUAAAUAUUUGAAAUUGCCUAGUAAACUGGUUUAAAUUUAAUGUAAAUUAUUUUUAACAGCCAAAUAUAGUAUAAUCAUAAAACCAUAUGUAAUAAUCACAAACUUUAAUGGAAUUGAUGGUUAUUAAUAAAAUUUUGGGUUUUAUAAAGAAAUAUUUAAACAUUAUAUAAAUUA